RNAcentral lists this transfer RNA (73 nucleotides) under Stegodyphus mimosarum. It matches the Rfam family "tRNA". From Rfam's summary of the family: Transfer RNA (tRNA) molecules are approximately 80 nucleotides in length. Their secondary structure includes four short double-helical elements and three loops (D, anti-codon, and T loops). Lineage: Eukaryota; Metazoa; Arthropoda; Arachnida; Araneae; Eresidae. The record is from Rfam by way of RNAcentral.
GCCUUCGUGGUGUAAUGGGCAGCACACUUGACGCUUAACCCAGAGGCCCGUGGUUCGAUUCCCGGCGAAGGUA